GCUGGCGUAGCUCAGUAGGUAGAGCGUAUCCUUGGUAAGGAUAAGGUCACCGGUUCAAUCCCGGUCGUCAGCUCCA
Molecule: transfer RNA, 76 nt
Filed under: Thermanaerosceptrum fracticalcis
Lineage: Bacteria; Bacillati; Bacillota; Clostridia; Eubacteriales; Peptococcaceae
Also listed under: 1 other name
Description: Thermoanaerosceptrum fracticalcis tRNA-Thr
Rfam family: tRNA
About the family: Transfer RNA (tRNA) molecules are approximately 80 nucleotides in length. Their secondary structure includes four short double-helical elements and three loops (D, anti-codon, and T loops).
Source: RNAcentral